Molecule: ribosomal RNA, 443 nt
Filed under: uncultured Fusobacterium sp.
Lineage: Bacteria; Fusobacteriati; Fusobacteriota; Fusobacteriia; Fusobacteriales; Fusobacteriaceae
Description: bacterial SSU rRNA
Rfam family: Bacterial small subunit ribosomal RNA
Source: RNAcentral
CCUACGGGAGGCAGCAGUGGGGAAUAUUGGACAAUGGACCGAGAGUCUGAUCCAGCAAUUCUGUGUGCACGAUGAAGUUUUUCGGAAUGUAAAGUGCUUUCAGUUGGGAAGAAAGAAAUGACGGUACCAACAGAAGAAGUGACGGCUAAAUACGUGCCAGCAGCCGCGGUAAUACGUAUGUCACGAGCGUUAUCCGGAUUUAUUGGGCGUAAAGCGCGUCUAGGUGGUUAUAUAAGUCUGAUGUGAAAAUGCAGGGCUCAACUCUGUAUUGCGUUGGAAACUGUAUAACUAGAGUACUGGAGAGGUAAGCGGAACUACAAGUGUAGAGGUGAAAUUCGUAGAUAUUUGUAGGAAUGCCGAUGGGGAAGCCAGCUUACUGGACAGAUACUGACGCUGAAGCGCGAAAGCGUGGGUAGCAAACAGGAUUAGAUACCCUGGUAGUC